This 1407-nucleotide ribosomal RNA is filed under the name uncultured bacterium. Its description in RNAcentral is "bacterial SSU rRNA". It matches the Rfam family "Bacterial small subunit ribosomal RNA". The record is from RNAcentral.
GAAUUCGCCCUUAGAGUUUGAUCCUGGCUCAGGAUGAACGCUAGCGGUAGGCAUAACACAUGCAAGUCGAGGGGCAGCUGGUUUGGUAGCAAUACUGAAUGUCAGGCGACCGGCGGAUGGGUGAGUAACGCGUACGCAACCUACCUUGUACAGUGGGAUAGACACUGGAAACGGUGCGUAAUACCACGUAAUAAUAUAGAUAGGCAUCUAUUUAUAUGGGAAGGGUACGUAAGUAUUGGUAUAAGAUGGGCGUGCGUAGGAUUAGAUAGAUGGUGGGGUAACGGCUUACCAUGUCGACGAUCUUUAGGGGUUCUGAGAGGAAGGUCCCCCACAUUGCAACUGAGAACGGUGCAAACUCCUACGGGAGGCAGCAGUGGGGAAUAUUGGGCAAUGGGCGCAAGCCUGACCCAGCAACGCCGCGUGAAGGAAGAAGGCUUUCGGGUUGUAAACUUCUUUUAAGAGGGAAGAGCAGAAGACGGUACCUCUAGAAUAAGCCACGGCUAACUACGUGCCAGCAGCCGCGGUAAUACGUAGGUGGCAAGCGUUGUCCGGAUUUACUGGGUGUAAAGGGCGUGUAGGCGGAGCGGCAAGUCAGAUGUGAAACCCCGGGGCUUAACCCCGGAACUGCAUUUGAAACUGUCGCCCUUGAGUAUCGAAGAAGGCAGGCGGAAUUCCUAGUGUAGCGGUGAAAUGCGUAGAUAUUAGGAGGAACACCAGUGGCGAAGGCGGCCUGCUGGACGACAACUGACGCUGAGGCGCGAAAGCGUGGGGAGCAAACAGGAUUAGAUACCCUGGUAGUCCACGCUGUAAACGAUGAAUACUAGGUGUGGGAGGACUGACCCCUUCCGUGCCGCAGUUAACACAAUAAGUAUUCCACCUGGGGAGUACGACCGCAAGGUUGAAACUCAAAGGAAUUGACGGGGGCCCGCACAAGCAGUGGAUUAUGUGGUUUAAUUCGACGCAACGCGAAGAACCUUACCAGGAUUUGACAUCCCACUAACGAAGUAGAGAUACAUUAGGUGCCCUUCGGGGAAAGUGGAGACAGGUGGUGCAUGGUUGUCGUCAGCUCGUGUCGUGAGAUGUUGGGUUAAGUCCCGCAACGAGCGCAACCCUUAUGAUCAGUUACUAACGGGUGAAGCCGAGGACUCUGAUAAGACUGCCGGGGACAACUCGGAGGAAGGUGGGGACGACGUCAAAUCAUCAUGCCCCUUAUGACCUGGGCUACAAACGUGCUACAAUGGUGACUACAAAGAGGAGCGAGCCUGUAAAGGUAAGCGGAUCUCAAAAAAGUCAUCCCAGUUCGGAUUGUGGGCUGCAACCCGCCCACAUGAAGUUGGAGUUGCUAGUAAUCGCAGAUCAGAAUGCUGCGGUGAAUACGUUCCCGGGUCUUGUACACACCGCCCGUCA